GCCCCCAUGGUCUAGAGGCCUAGGACAUUUCCCUUUCACGGAAGUAACACGAGUUCGAAUCUCGUUGGGGGUA
This 73-nucleotide transfer RNA is filed under the name prasinophyte sp. MBIC10622. Its description in RNAcentral is "tRNA-Glu". It matches the Rfam family "tRNA". From Rfam's summary of the family: Transfer RNA (tRNA) molecules are approximately 80 nucleotides in length. Their secondary structure includes four short double-helical elements and three loops (D, anti-codon, and T loops). Lineage: Eukaryota; Viridiplantae; Chlorophyta. The record is from RNAcentral.